RNAcentral lists this transfer RNA (71 nucleotides) under Mycobacteroides abscessus subsp. bolletii. RNAcentral describes it as "tRNA-His(atg)". It matches the Rfam family "tRNA". From Rfam's summary of the family: Transfer RNA (tRNA) molecules are approximately 80 nucleotides in length. Their secondary structure includes four short double-helical elements and three loops (D, anti-codon, and T loops). Further hydrogen bonds mediate the characteristic L-shaped molecular structure. tRNAs have two regions of fundamental functional importance: the anti-codon, which is responsible for specific mRNA codon recognition, and the 3' end, to which the tRNAs corresponding amino acid is attached (by aminoacyl-tRNA synthetases). tRNAs cope with the degeneracy of the genetic code in two manners: having more than one tRNA (with a specific anti-codon) for a particular amino acid; and 'wobble' base-pairing, i.e. permitting non-standard base-pairing at the 3rd anti-codon position. The record is from RNAcentral. Lineage: Bacteria; Bacillati; Actinomycetota; Actinomycetes; Mycobacteriales; Mycobacteriaceae. RNAcentral also lists the same sequence under 1 other name.
AAUGACGUAGGCCAACGGCAGGCCACCUGUAUAUGGAACAGGAUGUGCGGGUUCGAUUCCCGUCGUCAAUA